CCCGCGGAAUACACACCAAAAACGUAAAGUGUUACUUUGCCUUCCACAAAGGAAAACAAGAGCGAAAAAGCGCCCGAAAUAGGAAACAAACAUUCUGUGCGGCUGCGCAGACCGCAGCUGGACGGGACCAUCCCACGGGAACGGUCCCGCGAACACGCAGGCAGCCUCGCGAGGUCCCGGGCGCCUGCAGCGUCUAUAUGCAGACUGGGGGCCCAGAGACACAACACGGUUCGGCGGUGGAGACGGGCCACAACAACCAGAGGACGGUGAAUGUCCACAUACAACAGGAUGACGUUGGACCUCUUUCUCACACCAUAAGCAAAUGGACAUCAGCUGGUGAAUGGAUGAAUGAAGUGUGGUAACUCUAUACAAUGGAAUAUUAUUCUGCAACGAAAAGGAGUGACGUAAUGUACACAUUCUUCAACACGGAUAAACCUUGGAAGUAUGUUGCUAAGUGAAGGAAGGCACACAUUAAAGGCCAUAUGUUCAGAUUUCA
Long non-coding RNA from Leopardus geoffroyi (Geoffroy's cat), 496 nucleotides. RefSeq lists it as uncharacterized. The record is from RefSeq and is a predicted model, not a curated record. The transcript has 2 exons. NCBI's taxonomy places the organism in Eukaryota, Metazoa, Chordata, Mammalia, Carnivora, Felidae.